CGAACUUGCCAUUUGCCAUUAAGUCGUUGAUAGUGUGUGGUGUGUUGCGGUCACGCGUUUUAAAAAAAAUAAUAGUGACGAUUAUAGUGUGAUUAGUGACGAGCUUUGCGAUUUAUUAAUACAAAAAUGAGUCAUGGUAAUAGUGGAUCCAGUUCUAAUCGCCCUCCGCCACGUAUUGAUGGAAUGGUGUCUCUGAAAGUUGAUAAUUUAACUUAUCGGACGACUCCAGAGGACCUACGUAGAGUUUUUGAGCGCUGCGGUGAAGUAGGUGAUAUUUACAUACCACGCGACAGAUACACUCGCGAAAGCCGAGGCUUUGCAUUUGUAAGAUAUUACGACAAGAGAGAUGCUGAGGAUGCAUUGGAAGCUAUGGAUGGUCGUAUGUUAGAUGGCAGGGAGUUGCGUGUGCAAAUGGCUCGCUUUGGUCGCCCAACAUCCCCAAAUAGACGUAAUGGCGGUCGUCGUGGUGGAGGUGGAGGAGGAGGUGGUAGUGGUGGACGCCGUCGUUCACGUUCACCCGUACGGCGCCGCUCUCGUAGUCCCCGUCGUCGUUCAUAUUCACCACGUUCGCGUUCACGUUCAUCUGGCAGUCGCUCACCAGUACGUCGCAAUAAGUUUUCACGUAGCCCCAUACGGAAAUCUGCAACACGUAGUCAAAGUCGUAAUGGCAUUGAUCGCGGGGCACGUAGUAUUUCGCGUACACUAAGCCGCAACUAAAUCAUUCACCUUUCUUAACCAAAUGCAACAAAAUCUUUGACAUUUUAAUAAACCAUGCAAUUUUACAUUUGGGCUAACUAACUGAUGAUGUAACACCAGAAGGCUAACCUGUUGUUCGUGUAAGGCUGUAAAGUGGGAGAAAGAGAUUUAAAGUAGGGGCGUAAUUUUGAUAAGGCGGUUUGCUGCUGCUGCUGCUUCUGCUUCUGUUGCUGCUACUGCAACAUACAUAUUUAAUUUUAAAAUAUGAAAAAGCAAGAAUAAUUUAUUACAAAAAAUAUCAACGAAUUAGCUAGAAGUGGUAAGUGGUAUUCGUAAAACUGAGUGCAAGAAAGAGUGGCUAAAAGUGGUAACAGGUAGUAUGAGGUGAAAGCUGGAAAAGGGUCAGUUAAUGUCUCAAUUCCUGUCGAUCAACCAAGCCAAGUCAAGCCAAGCGCGUACGAUUGCACACAGCAGUAGUUAGAAAGCAGUUCGUAAUACAGGUUAGCAAAGGAGCUUUUAUGUUUAUAACGUGCACGAGCGUUAAGUGUUACCAUCUCAACUCAAUGAUGCAAAGCGUAAUUAAAAGUAUACUUUUUCUUCAUAACAGUUACUGUACAACGAGUGAGUUGCAGCUCUGCGGCGUCUCUCUCUAAACCUAAUUUUGCUGUUCAUCUUCCGUUUGAAUAAAUGUCCAGUUCUGUCAUCCUGCAUUUUGAAAGCACACUUAAAACGGCUUUGAGAACAAUUUAAACAAGCUGCCUGCAACGCAAGGUCUUUUGAUUAGUGCCCAUUGCUGGUUGCUGCACGCUGUAUAGUGUUAUUGGUGUUUGGUGACAUCGUGACAUCCUUUUCAUCUCGCCACGCGAGUGUUGCUGCCAAGUGAAAAUCUAAUAUCUAUAAUUUAGCAGAUUUUCUCAAGUUUUGUAAAUCAAUAUGUAGGUGAUUCUGUAUUUAGCUGUUUCUUUCUGCGGCAGUUAGUAUGUUUCUUAUUUGCGGCUCCUUCGCCACUUCUAAAUUAAAGUAAAGUAAAGUCGGUUCAACUAAUUUACUAUGCAGGUUAUCUAUCGCAAUUGAAGUAGUUAUUGUGUAUUGGAUAUUCAGUACUAUACUUCUAAGUAAUACUAUCAACAAUAACACAACUGUGGUAAUUCUAUGAGGACAAAUUAUUAUUUCAGCAAACAUUUGAAGUGAGAAGAAGAUUUAAAUGAGGGGUGAGUAUUUUGACUAACAAAUAGUAUUCUUUUUCUUCUAUUUUACUAAUUAGUACUCGUCUUAAAAGCAUAAACUUUAAGUAUUUUUUUUUUUUACAUCAAUACAAUCUUAAUAAAUGAAC
Molecule: RNA transcript, 2029 nt
Organism: Teleopsis dalmanni
Lineage: Eukaryota; Metazoa; Arthropoda; Insecta; Diptera; Diopsidae
Gene: SC35
Gene name: serine/arginine-rich splicing factor 2
Exons: 5
Source: RefSeq, a predicted model, not a curated record